This 504-nucleotide ribosomal RNA is filed under the name uncultured bacterium. RNAcentral describes it as "bacterial SSU rRNA". It matches the Rfam family "Bacterial small subunit ribosomal RNA", at positions 29 to 518 of the family's 1533-position model. The record is from RNAcentral.
ACGAACGCUGGCGGCGUGCCUAACACAUGCAAGUCGAGCGGGGACUUUGCGACAGAUCUGAAGCUUCGGACAGAAGUGAAGAUGUAAAGUUCUAGCGGCGGACGGGUGAGUAACGCGUGAGCAACCUGUCCCUUACAGGGGGAUAACACAGCGAAAGUUGUACUAAUACCGCAUGAGACCACAGUAUCACAUGGUACAGGGGUCAAAGGAGCAAUCCGGUAAGGGGUGGGCUCGCGUCCGAUUAGAUAGUUGGUGAGGUAACGGCCCACCAAGUCGACGAUCGGUAGCCGACCUGAGAGGGUGAUCGGCCACACUGGGACUGAGACACGGCCCAAACUCCUACGGGAGGCAGCAGUGGGGAAUAUUGGGCAAAUGGGGGAAACCCUGACCCAGCAACGCCGCGUGAGGGAAGAAGGUUUUCGGAUCGUAAACCUCUGUCCUUGGUGAAGAGGAAGAGACGGUAGCCAAGGAGGAAGCCCCGGCUAACUACGUGCCAGCCGCGGC